AAACCGUUCGGGGGUAAACGGACAGAGCCCGUGAAUCCGGGCGACGGAAUUCAGAAUUGACGGUGUUCACGCGUCGCCAGUUUGAUAUUUCCGCCGCCGUAACAAUGUACGGACGUCGCGACCCGUUCGGUGCCGGUCCGAGGAGAUGUGUAAAAGUUCGCCGGCGUGUCGUUCGUCCGUUUCGGCGGUCGAGCGUGCACGUUUGGUGAGUACGCGUUCUUUAAAUUCUGGCCGGCUCGCCGGACGGUACGUGUAACGGUGACCGUGGCGACCUUUCGAGCGUCGUCAUCGGUACCGGUCUGCGACGAAUCUUCGGGCCUCUUUCCGA
Molecule: ribosomal RNA, 328 nt
Filed under: Anisococcus sp. PJG-2003
Lineage: Eukaryota; Metazoa; Arthropoda; Insecta; Hemiptera; Pseudococcidae
Description: partial 28S large subunit ribosomal RNA
Source: RNAcentral